Molecule: small nucleolar RNA, 96 nt
Organism: Magnolia sinica
Lineage: Eukaryota; Viridiplantae; Streptophyta; Magnoliopsida; Magnoliales; Magnoliaceae
Product: small nucleolar RNA snoR31/Z110/Z27
Exons: 1
Source: RefSeq, a predicted model, not a curated record
UCCAUCAGGGGAUGAAAAAGAGAAAUAUCUUAGGACACCUUCCUACACAGUUGUGUAACUGUGGAUGAGAAAUAAAAUCUCACUUCUGAUGAUGGA